This is an RNA transcript of Myotis lucifugus (little brown bat), 2375 nucleotides long. It is a transcript of the gene named mitochondrial ribosomal protein L17, with no coding region annotated. NCBI's taxonomy places the organism in Eukaryota, Metazoa, Chordata, Mammalia, Chiroptera, Vespertilionidae. The transcript is spliced from 4 exons. The record is from RefSeq and is a predicted model, not a curated record.
GCAGUUCCCCACGCGUUUCCAGUUCCGGCUCCGGGGGUUUGGGGAGCAGCGGGUAAGAUGCGGUUGUCGGUCGCCGCCGCCAUCUCCCAUGGCCGCGUGUACCGCCGCCUGGGCCUUGGUCCCGAGUCCCGCAUCCACCUGUUGCGGAACUUGCUGACGGGACUAGUGCGGCACGAACGCAUCGAGGCGUCCUGGGCGCGCGUGGACGAGAUGAGGGGUUACGCCGAGAAGCUCAUCGACUAUGGGAAGCUGGGCGACACCAACGAAAGAGCCAUGCGCAUGGCUGACUUCUGGCUGACAGAGAAGGACUUGAUCCCAAAGCUGUUUCAAGUGUUGGCCCCUCGGUACCAAGGUCAGAGUGGGGGCUACACGAGAAUGCUGCAGAUCCCAAAUCGGAAUCAGCAGGAUCGGGCUAAGAUGGCAGUGAUCGAGUAUAAAGGGAACUGCCUCCCACCCCUGCCCCUGCCUCGCAGAGACAGCAACCUCACACUUCUAAACCAGCUCCUUCGUGGGCUGCGGCAGGACCGGGAAGCAGGCAUCCACAGCUCCCACACACCUCGGACACCAGGGAGUUAACUGGAGCCAAAGCGUGUGCAGCCUCGUCAGUGCCCAUGAUCAUAGGCCGUUGGAUCUCUUCAUCUCUAAGAACUGGAGCUAGAGUUGUGAAGUGGACAGUCUUCAUGGAGCCCAGAACCUGUUGGGUAGCCAUAUAACCUUCUCUUUGCACAAUAGGCAGGAUCACGUAAUACCCUCAUGUGCUUCUCUCAAGCCUUGAAUGGGCCUCAAAGGAGAGGACCUGAGGACUCCGAUGUACGACUAUCCUGGCCAAGGGAGUGCAAGCGUUGAGCAGAGGAUACUGGACUCCAGCAUCAGCUCUUUCCUCUUGGAGUGGAAGGGAGGGCGGGAGGGGAGAGUGAAAUGAAGGACAGGGUUAAAGUGGGAGGAGGAUCAGGAAGUUAAACCUGCUGGAAUUUCCUGGAAAUUUUUUAUUGUCGAAUCUGGGCCUCUCUUGGAACUGAGAAAGGGGAAAUCGGGCUUCACAAUGGUCUGGGCAUAUGAGAAGUAGGAAACUCCUUUAUGUAUACUAAUUAGUGUGAAACCAAACUUGGCCCGGCCAGGCUGCCCACCUCUCAAAGCUCAGAGGCUUGAGUAAGGUGAUAGUCAUGGGAAGACUCAGUGCUGUCAUCCCAGGCUAAAUGCAUCAGAACAGGGUCCCACAGUUUCCAUAUCCCCGGUAUGGUGGAGAGAAGAGAUUUUUAUCUUGGACUGGACUUUCAGAGCGUAUUGGGCCCAUUGUCUCAGAUGAUAAGGGUGAAGGUGAAGAGGUCACUGGUCUAGCAGAUAGAUAAUAGCUUCAGUGACAGCUAUUCUUGUGCUAUUUCACUGCAGUUUCCCUAGUCGGACACUCACUCCUAGCAGGGUUCUCCAUAUCUCCCUCUGCUCCAAUCUGCCUUUCACAUUAUUACCAGAAAGCUCUUUCUGCCAUAUUUUGAGUGACAUACUAGACACUCAAAGCAUUUAUUAAAUAAACCUACAACUCUGAGUGCUUCUGCCCAAAAAUUCAUCCCCUUCCUGUCUUCUUGGCAUGAAUAUUCACCUCCAGCUAGAUAAGUUGGAGUCAUCCCUGAUUCCUAGAGAAAGCACUUACUAUUAAAACCACAUCUUUACAACUUAUUGGUAAUAAGUAGAUUGUGGCUGACUCUCAUAGUUUUCGUCUUAGCCCCAGAAAUAUAUGCCCAUUUGGAGUUUUCAGCAGUUCCCCUAAGUGCUUAUUAAACAUCUGCUAGUACCCAGCAUCAAUUUAGGCAGUAGGGAUGCAGUCUUUAUCAAAUGUUUGCCAUGCAUUGGGCCCUGGGAUCGAUACUAGGGAUACAGAGAUGAGGAGAAACAACCUCUCCCUUCAAGGAGCUCACAAUCUAAUGGACCACCACAGUGGCCUCAAGGGACACUUCAUCACCUUUAAUAUUUUGGCCAAAUAAGAGUGCAUGAAUCCUAGAACAUUUACUGAAGGCUCCAGGACAAUAUAAGGGAAAUAACACUGUUUUACUAAUCUGGCCUGUAAAUGAUAACUUUUCACCCCAGUUGUUGGACUAUUCCAUCUAGGCACCUCUUUAAAAAAUUUUAGACCCCCAAGAGAGGAGCCCAGAUGUAUUGCAGAUGUCUCUACUUUUCAGAGGUUCUCAGGCUCCAGUUUUUUACUGCAAGGUCGUCAGCUAUGCCCACUCCCUUCAAAAAAUAAUGAACUCUAGCCCAGCUGGCAUGUCUCAGUAGUCGAGCAUCAACCUAUGAACCUGGAAUUCAUAGUUUGAUUCCCAGUCAGGACACAUGCCCAGUGGAGGGCAUGCAGGAGGCAGUCAAUCAAUGAUUCUCAUCAU